GACUUUUCAUUUUUGGGUGAACUAUCCUGUUAAGUGCUAAACUAUCCUGUUUGGAAUUUUCAGUGUGUGCGCACUACCACACUAUAUACACUACUAAACAACAUAGAAUAGUGCACAAAGACACAAAUUGGGACGUACCUAUUGCCACAACGCUAAGUGGUUGGUAGUUGCCACGGCGUUGCAAUGCAGUUGCUAGGGUGCUCUGAGCGGCUUUAGCAUGUUGAUGUGCAGUUGCUAGGGUAUUUGGGGUAAUUGCUAAGUGGCUGCUUAUUGGGCAAAAAGCCCAUAAAAUUUAUAGCACACUCCUCUACAAGCUGCACAAUUGCAUGUGUCAUUCAUGUUCAUAUCACAAACGAUGAUGAGCGAGUUACAUACCAAAUUUUGAUAUUUUGUUGUAGAAGUUUGUUCAAAUAACUAAGACUUUGUGAAAUAAUACUAGUAAUGUUUACCUUAGGAAGCACCACUAAUAAAAUUUUUCUUUUCAUCAAAUUUCUUGCUGGGUUCAUAGAAAGUCCACACACACACACACACACACACACACACGACCUCAGCUCUGAAAUAGCACCAUCUAUGGGACUGAAGCAGCAGACAGGGCAGGAGAUCUGAUCUGGGGUCAGGUUUGCCCGUCAUACACUAAUGACUGACUCAUGAGAAUGAAAGAUUCUCUCUCUCUCUUUCAUCAUGUGGUCUGUGUUUUUCUGUCCAUCUCUUUGUGUUUCUCUCAGCUACAGGAACGCUGCAGCAUAGGCAGUGGGUGGAACUAAUCUCAUUAAAUAUGAAAGAACUUCCAAUGAAUUGAGAAAAGAAAGAGGGAGUGAGAAAAAGAGGAGAGGAGAGGUUACUGAAGACAGAGGAGGCGGGACUCAAAUGACAGACAUUCCACUGGACAAAUAGCAACUUGAGAUCGGAUUGAUCUUCCCAAUCAACAGCAAAAACCUGCUGAUUCUGUCUGGUGUGUUGAUGGAGAGUCUCAACAGUCUACUAUGACAAGAACAUCCUAGAGUCUGUGAUUUAAAGCUCAGAGAAAAGAAAUCUAAAGACAUAAUCAGAUCACAGAGAUGGAGCCGUGUGUGUGCGGUUAUCCCACAGGUCUCUCCAGGCUUCCUUUCACAUCAGAGCCAUCCCGUUGAGCUCCACUUAACAGGUUAAAUAUUUCAUGCUCGCACCGAACUGCCACUUUGAGUUCAGAGAUACAGAUGAGCGCCAGUCGCUUGCAGCUCCCUAUACUCCACACAGCCUGCAUCA
Molecule: long non-coding RNA, 1245 nt
Organism: Onychostoma macrolepis
Lineage: Eukaryota; Metazoa; Chordata; Actinopteri; Cypriniformes; Cyprinidae
Exons: 3
Source: RefSeq, a predicted model, not a curated record